UUCCACUUGUGGCAUCACGUCAGUGCUCAAAAUGUUUCAGAUUUUGGAGCACUUCAGAUUUUGGACUUUGGGAUUAGGGAUGCUCAACCUGUAUUACACUAUAUUCAUUUCAAUUCAUUAUUAUUCUUUUUUACUGGAAAAAGCAUUGAGUGCUUGCUGGCUUUGUAACAGGCACAUGCUAAUGCUGUCCAGAGGGCUUCAUAACCACGAAAUAUAGUGCAGUUAUUUCAAAUGUUGACCUAAUUUUUCUAAAGUUACACAUG
RNAcentral lists this long non-coding RNA (263 nucleotides) under Pan troglodytes (chimpanzee). RNAcentral describes it as "long non-coding RNA NONPTRT001610". The record is from RNAcentral. Lineage: Eukaryota; Metazoa; Chordata; Mammalia; Primates; Hominidae.